GGGCGGAUUCCCGAGUGGUUAAAGGGAGCAGACUGUAAAUCUGCCGGCUUUGCCUUCAUAGGUUCGAAUCCUAUUCCGCCCACCA
Molecule: transfer RNA, 85 nt
Filed under: [Clostridium] leptum
Lineage: Bacteria; Bacillati; Bacillota; Clostridia; Eubacteriales; Oscillospiraceae
Also listed under: 12 other names
Description: tRNA-Tyr
Rfam family: tRNA
About the family: Transfer RNA (tRNA) molecules are approximately 80 nucleotides in length.
Source: RNAcentral